Molecule: unclassified non-coding RNA, 347 nt
Filed under: soil metagenome
Description: partial contains 5.8S ribosomal RNA, internal transcribed spacer 2, and large subunit ribosomal RNA
Rfam family: 5.8S ribosomal RNA (bases 1-119)
Source: RNAcentral
AUGAAGAACGCAGCGAAAUGCGAUAAGUAAUGUGAAUUGCAGAAUUCAGUGAAUCAUCGAGUCUUUGAACGCACAUUGCGCCCCCUGGUAUUCCGGGGGGCAUGCCUGUCCGAGCGUCAUUGCUGCCCUCAAGCACGGCUUGUGUGUUGGGCCCCCGUCCCCGGUUUCCCCCGGGGACGGGCCCGAAAGGCAGCGGCGGCACCGCGUCCGGUCCUCGAGCGUAUGGGGCUUUGUCACCCGCUCUGUAGGCCCGGCCGGCGCCAGCCGACACCCAACUUUAUUUCUAAGGUUGACCUCGGAUCAGGUAGGGAUACCCGCUGAACUUAAGCAUAUCAAUAAGCGGAGGA